GUGCUCGCUUCAGCAGCACAUAUACUAAAAAAAAAUUGGAACGAUACAGAGAAGAUUAGCAUGGCCUCUGCGCAAGGAUGACACGCAAAGUCGUGAAGCGUUCCAUAUUUAA
Rattus norvegicus (Norway rat) is the source of this 112-nucleotide small nuclear RNA. The record is from Ensembl. NCBI's taxonomy places the organism in Eukaryota, Metazoa, Chordata, Mammalia, Rodentia, Muridae.